RNAcentral lists this ribosomal RNA (430 nucleotides) under Bacillota bacterium. Its description in RNAcentral is "Firmicutes bacterium partial 16S ribosomal RNA". It matches the Rfam family "Bacterial small subunit ribosomal RNA", at positions 355 to 776 of the family's 1533-position model. Lineage: Bacteria; Bacillati; Bacillota. The record is from RNAcentral.
UAGGGAAUCUUCCGCAAUGGACGAAAGUCUGACGGAGCAACGCCGCGUGAGUGAUGAAGGUCUUCGGAUCGUAAAACUCUGUUGUUAGGGAAGAACAAGUAUAAGGCGAAUAACCUUAUACCUUGACGGUACCUAACCAGAAAGCCCCGGCUAACUACGUGCCAGCAGCCGCGGUAAUACGUAGGGGGCGAGCGUUGUCCGGAAUUAUUGGGCGUAAAGGGUGCGUAGGCGGUCUUCUAAGUCUGAUGUGAAAGCCCCCGGCUUAACCGGGGAGGGUCAUUGGAAACUGGAAGACUUGAGUGCAGAAGAGGAGAGCGGAAUUCCACGUGUAGCGGUGAAAUGCGUAGAGAUGUGGAGGAACACCAGUGGCGAAGGCGGCUCUCUGGUAUGUAAAUGACGCUGAGGCACGAAAGCGUGGGGAGCAAACAGG